GGAUGACGCGAGUGCCUGUGUGCGCACAUGCGUAGAUGCGCGCACACGCAACGCAAGGAAUUACAACUCCGACCUAUUUGAUGCGUUCUCGCCACACAAGAUCUUUCAACUAACAUAAAAAGUUUCUUUUUUUUUUCAACGUGCCCAUUCACCGCCAUGCAGCAUGCGAUCCACCCCACUCCACUCCACUCCACCACCACCACCCCUGCCCUGGUCACAGGGGCACAUCGAGUGGUGCGAAGCAGCGUUACACAUGUGCGGUGCAGCGAUGUUCACUGAGCGGUCUGAGCGUGGCCCCAGGCUCAUACUCUGCCUACCACGGCUGCCUCACAGCUGCUCCUGCUUUGCCGGUCGUCAUGUGGGGCACCCCCUCGGGGUCGCUCGGGCUUGCCCUGCCAGUAGGCGGUGUGACGGCCGUGGGGUGGGAUACGCUCGAGUCACGUCGACCCGCUGCUCAUCAUAUGGAUGGCGCAGGCGUGCUCACUGCCGCAGGGCGCUCCCGCGCAGCACCAUCCCCCGGACCUCACUGCCGACAUGAGCGGCGAUGCAUUGCCCUGACCUCCCCACGUCCCAGGCACGUGACCCUGCCAGCACCAGAGGUGGCUCAGCGUUUGCCAGGGAUCGCUGGGCUGCCUGGGGCUCUUGCCCCCGCCCCCCCCCCCCCCACGCACACACAGAGAGAGAGAGUGAGCCCACGUGGACCCUGAUACAAAUACAGAGGCUUUUCCUCUUGUGAGGGCGCCAUCGACAUGAUAUGGUAUAUUAAUUGAACAAUGGCCGACAGCUGGCCAUAACGCUUCUGGCGGCUUUCGCGCUUCCUUUUUUUUUGUUCCACAUUAUUAUUAUUGCUGCUGUUGCCGUGAAGCAACCGUAACCCACGGGGUCGAGGCGCCGUGCUGGAGGACGAGGUGUUAGACGGCGUUGUCUUGUCGGCCCUCUGCACGUUUCUCUUUUCCACGCAACCGUUUUGCUUCCGUGUGCGAGGCCACUUGGCGAAUCAUCCUGUUUCCUCUCGCACCUCUUCCAUGUAUCAUCUACAAUUUGUAGGGGCACGGGUAAUGUGCCGAACCGAUUCACAACCCCCCCGCCCACCCACACCCUCACGCACACAGGCAAGUACGGGCGCACAUGCUGUAUCCUCGUACGCACGCUGCCUUGAGCUGAGCAAGUUUUAAUGUUCUGUUCAAGUCGAGUUCUCUGAAACUGCUUCAACCAGCUGGUGAAGUUGGUUCACGGAGAACCACUAGUACUUAAAGGGACCCGAUCCGGCCUUUUCCUGAUUG
This 1283-nucleotide unclassified non-coding RNA is filed under the name Leishmania donovani. RNAcentral's name for it is "gene:unknown". The record is from RNAcentral. Lineage: Eukaryota; Euglenozoa; Kinetoplastea; Trypanosomatida; Trypanosomatidae.